Molecule: small nucleolar RNA, 220 nt
Organism: Prolemur simus (greater bamboo lemur)
Lineage: Eukaryota; Metazoa; Chordata; Mammalia; Primates; Lemuridae
Gene: U3
Rfam family: Small nucleolar RNA U3
About the family: Small nucleolar RNAs (snoRNAs) are involved in the processing and modification of rRNA in the nucleolus.
Source: Ensembl
UGGACUAUACUUUCAUUUCUAUAGUUCCAUACAUCAUUUCUAUAGUUUGUCACUAGAGAAGUUUCUCCGAACAUGUAGAGCACCAGAAACUAAGAGGAGGAGGCACCACAUUCUUUCCUGAGUGUAAAGCCAGUUCUUGGUGUGACUUCACUGCAACUGCCAUUUGCCAUUUCUUCUCUCCCUUGGGGUAGCGAGAGGGAGAGCUUGCUGUCCGAGUGGU